This 397-nucleotide ribosomal RNA is filed under the name Clostridioides difficile. Its description in RNAcentral is "bacterial SSU rRNA". It matches the Rfam family "Bacterial small subunit ribosomal RNA", at positions 1 to 407 of the family's 1533-position model. The record is from RNAcentral. Lineage: Bacteria; Bacillati; Bacillota; Clostridia; Peptostreptococcales; Peptostreptococcaceae.
UUAUUUGAGAGUUUGAUCCUGGCUCAGGAUGAACGCUGGCGGCGUGCCUAACACAUGCAAGUUGAGCGAUUUACUUCGGUAAAGAGCGGCGGACGGGUGAGUAACGCGUGGGUAACCUACCCUGUACACACGGAUAACAUACUGAAAGGUAUGCUAAUACGGGAUAAUAUAUUUGAGAGGCAUCUCUUGAAUAUCAAAGGUGAGCCAGUACAGGAUGGACCCGCGUCUGAUUAGCUAGUUGGUAAGGUAACGGCUUACCAAGGCGACGAUCAGUAGCCGACCUGAGAGGGUGAUCGGCCACAUUGGAACUGAGACACGGUCCAAACUCCUACGGGAGGCAGCAGUGGGGAAUAUUGCACAAUGGGCGAAAGCCUGAUGCAGCAACGCCGCGUGAGUG